GCGGCUUUUCUCCUUGUUAUGCAUAUUUCCUAAAGGACUUGCAGCUGCGCCACCUGCUUUCCAGGGAUAGCACCUGUUUCAAUUAAUUUCACUUGCCAAAUUAAUUCUGCUUUCUUUCCCAGCAGAGCCGAAUGAUUCAAGCUCCUUUUAAGCAUUCCUUCAUCUGGGGUUUCAACCACCAGCCAACAUCUUGUCUACUGAUCUGCAAUCUUGUUGAUUCUACAGAGUUGUGGCCAUGUGGCGAACCAGGCAAAUAGGCAGUUCACUCGCACAAAGUGGGCCAAUGAGGAUGUUUCUUGUGAUGAUUUGAACCUAUCCAACUUCGCCUCUAUGGUUGGAGAAAAGGAUACAGCGAGCAAACUGAUGGAAGAAACAUGGUUAGUAGCUUUAGAGGUUCCGAUUACGAUAUCCUCUUCAAGAAAUCCUAUCAUCGUCAUUGUAGAUGCAUGUACAAUUAGUCUAGGUGCAACUUGAUGCCAACUCCUGUCCCUAUGUUAUAUAUACCAUGUAGAAUCACAUGCUUCCAUAUAUAUUUGUAUGCUUAGCUGUCUUGCUCUUGAGUUCAAUCUUUUGCGAUUCAUUUGUUCAUUUGUUCCAAUAAGAAUUACAUGAUGGUUGUAAUUCUUUACCUUAAAAAUAGACAAACAGUCCCCCAUGAACCCAGACAGAAACAACAUCAUCAGUCUGUUUAGCUUAUCGUAUAUAAGGGCCUUUCUUUCUUUUUCUUUUUUUUUUCAGCCAUGUUUUCUCGCCUAGCCUAGUUGGUGGAUCUUGCUUCCAUCAUGGCCAACAGGCAUCAAAUUAUCACCUGCGAGGAACUGAUUAAUUAAUGUUGAAUGAGCACCAAUUAUAAGCUGGACAUGGAAACAAAUGCCUGGUCCAGACUUUUACAAGCUUCCAACUAGUCCAUGGAUUGAUCUACAUUGCAUGUGGACUAUCUAUAAUUUAGAUAAAACAAUAUAAAGGUCAUCAAGAUUCUGCUUGCUUCCACCUACUGGACAUUUCAUGAACAUUUGCUUGUAGAGUACACAUGUUAAGCUCAGCAAAAAUAAACAUUAUUGCUUCUAUGAGCCUGGAAUAGGAACACAUUACUGCAAUCCACUCGUGUAGGGCUUUAGUUUAGUUUGAUAAGAAUACUUAUUACAUCUUAUACUCAACACAUGUCAAUAAUGCAGGAGAAACUUCAAACAUGUGCCUUAAAUACAGCAUUAUCAUAGAUGGGAGUGUGCACAUUUCGCAUGAGGUGAGAUUCCUGCCGAACUUGAACGUGGGCUAACAUUAUUAGGGCAUAUUCAACUCGUG
RNAcentral lists this long non-coding RNA (1302 nucleotides) under Manihot esculenta (cassava). Its description in RNAcentral is "long non-coding RNA (MESC_LNC002939)". Lineage: Eukaryota; Viridiplantae; Streptophyta; Magnoliopsida; Malpighiales; Euphorbiaceae. The record is from RNAcentral.